AUUGACCUCGGAUCAGGUAGGGAUACCCGCUGAACUUAAGCAUAUCAAUAAGCGGAGGAAAAGAAACCAACAGGGAUUGCCUUAGUAACGGCGAGUGAAGCGGCAACAGCUCAGAUUUGAAAUCUGGCCCUUUCGGGGUCCGAGUUGUAAUCUGCAGAGAGUGUUUCGGGUGAGAUCACGGUCUAAGUGCAUUGGAACAUGCCGUCAUAGAGGGUGAGAAUCCCGUAUGCGACCGUGGCUUAAGCCCAUGUGAAGCCUCUUUGACGAGUCGAGUUGUUUGGGAAUGCAGCUCAAAAUGGGUGGUAAAUUUCAUCUAAAGCUAAAUACUGGCUGGAGACCGAUAGCGCACAAGUAGAGUGAUCGAAAGAUGAAAAGCACUUUGGAAAGAGAGUUAAACAGUACGUGAAAUUGUUGAAA
This 417-nucleotide ribosomal RNA is filed under the name Parmelia marmorophylla. Its description in RNAcentral is "eukaryotic LSU rRNA". It matches the Rfam family "Eukaryotic large subunit ribosomal RNA", at positions 1 to 413 of the family's 3401-position model. Lineage: Eukaryota; Fungi; Ascomycota; Lecanoromycetes; Lecanorales; Parmeliaceae. The record is from RNAcentral.